RNAcentral lists this ribosomal RNA (496 nucleotides) under uncultured bacterium. RNAcentral's name for it is "bacterial SSU rRNA". It matches the Rfam family "Bacterial small subunit ribosomal RNA", at positions 899 to 1397 of the family's 1533-position model. The record is from RNAcentral.
ACUCAAAUGAAUUGACGGGGGCCCGCACAAGCGGAGGAACAUGUGGUUUAAUUCGAUGAUACGCGAGGAACCUUACCCGGGCUAGAACGUAGAAGGAAUAUAUGGGAAACUGUAUAGCCGCAAGGCCGUCUACGAGGUGCUGCAUGGUUGUCGUCAGCUCGUGCCGUGAGGUGUCGGCUUAAGUGCCAUAACGAGCGCAACCCUUAUUGUUAGUUGCCAGCGGGUCACGCCGGGGACUCUAGCAAAACUGCCUGCGUAAGCUGUGAGGAAGGUGGGGAUGACGUCAAAUCAGCACGGCCCUUACGUCCGGGGCGACACACGUGUUACAAUGGGGGGUACAGAGGGUCGCUACUGCGCGAGCAGAUGCCAAUCUCAAAAACCUCUCUCAGUUCGGAUCGAAGUCUGCAACUCGACUUCGUGAAGUUGGAUUCGCUAGUAAUCGCGCAUCAGCCAUGGCGCGGUGAAUACGUUCCCGGGCCUUGCACACACCGCCCGU